UUUUUUAAAAUCUUUUUAUAUAUGACUUCUAAUUAUAAUUAAGUUUAAGAUUAAUUAAAUUUAGGAUUUAAUUUUCCUAACUACAUCUUGGGUUAGAAAUUAUAUUAGGAAAUAUGAUUCAUCCUAAUCUUUAUUUUUCUCAUUUUUUACUUUUAAUUCAUGAUGAAUGACUUUAAUAAAUUAUUGCUUUGCUUGAACAAAAU
This 203-nucleotide long non-coding RNA is filed under the name Lathyrus oleraceus (garden pea). RNAcentral's name for it is "Pisum sativum (pea) long non-coding RNA (PSAT_LNC013801)". Lineage: Eukaryota; Viridiplantae; Streptophyta; Magnoliopsida; Fabales; Fabaceae. The record is from RNAcentral.